RNAcentral lists this transfer RNA (64 nucleotides) under Brachionus angularis. RNAcentral's name for it is "tRNA-Leu". The record is from RNAcentral. Lineage: Eukaryota; Metazoa; Rotifera; Eurotatoria; Ploima; Brachionidae.
GAUGAUUUGGCAGAAGUUUAUGCUUAUGAUUUAAGCUCAUACUAUACUAUAUUAGUAAUCGUCU